This 225-nucleotide ribosomal RNA is filed under the name Triticum aestivum (bread wheat). Its description in RNAcentral is "partial small subunit ribosomal RNA". Lineage: Eukaryota; Viridiplantae; Streptophyta; Magnoliopsida; Poales; Poaceae. The record is from RNAcentral.
AUGACAUUGCUGAGCUGGAACCGCCGAGGAAUCGGGCAACCCCGGGCAGUUCAGGAGUUGGUAUGUCUCGUGCAUACAUACCGGCCCAAGAUCGUCUUCCUCACUGAGACUAGGCAAUGCAAGAAUAACGUGAAGGCAAUAAAAUGGAAACUAGGCCUUAGGCAUUGCUUAACGCAUGAUGGUAAGGGCAAGGGUGCUAGAAUGCAUUGUAUUGGGAUAAUUUAA